AGGACACAAUGAGAAGGCAGCCAUCCACAAGCUAGGAGGAGGGCUCUCAUCAGAAACUGAAUCUGCCAGUGUCUUGAUCUUGGACAUCAGAGCUGUCAAAACUGAUAUAGCAAGAAGAUCGCAAACCUGGAAGAAGUAUCUCACCACACGCUGAGUCUGCUGGCACUUUGAUCCUGAGAUUACCAGCCUCUAGAAGUGUUUGAGACACACUAUUUAUGAUACUGAUGAUCCUUAAUUUAGGAUGUUUUGACUUACUAUUUUUUUAUUUCACGAUGGUGCAAAAGUGAUAUGCAUUCUUCAGAAACUGCAAAUCAGAUUUUGAGUUCUGCUAUUCUCCUGGGCUAACAAUCAAUAUGGUGUAUGGCCCUCUCUUGUGUCCCUGGGCGAUGGCAGUGGCCUGACCUCCCAGUCAGCUACGUGAUUACAAGUCACACAGAGAGAGAGAGAGAUAGAGAGAGAGAGGCAGAGGGAGAAGCAGGCUCCAUGCACCGGGAGCCCGACGUGGGAUUCGAUCCCGGGUCUCCAGGAUCAUGCCCUGGGCCAAAGGCAGGAGCUAAACCACUGCGCCACCCAGGGAUCCCUACACUUCAAUCUUUAAUGUGAAGACUUGCCUCGUGGUGACUACCAUAAUGGAAGUGGAGAGAGUCUAUAAAAAAAGUCAGCAUUGUUAUCAAACAGCAUCAUAUCCUACAAGGAAAUCAUUCAUGAAAGGAGAAGUCAAUAGCAGCAAACUUCAUUCAUCUCAUUUUUUAAAAAAAUGCCCAGCCACCCCAGCCUUCAUUAACCACUCUAAUCGGUCAACAGCUAUCAACAUCAAGGCAAGACCUUCUCCCAGAGAAAAAGAAAUUUAACUCCAUGAAUGCUCAAAUGAUGGUUAGCAUUUUUUAGCCAUAAAAUGUUUUUAAUUAAGGUAAUAAAAAAAGAAAAAAAUAAAUUGUUU
Canis lupus familiaris (dog) is the source of this 940-nucleotide long non-coding RNA. RefSeq lists it as uncharacterized. NCBI's taxonomy places the organism in Eukaryota, Metazoa, Chordata, Mammalia, Carnivora, Canidae. The record is from RefSeq and is a predicted model, not a curated record. The transcript has 4 exons.